This 464-nucleotide ribosomal RNA is filed under the name uncultured bacterium. RNAcentral describes it as "bacterial SSU rRNA". It matches the Rfam family "Bacterial small subunit ribosomal RNA", at positions 28 to 507 of the family's 1533-position model. The record is from RNAcentral.
GAUGAACGCUGGCGGCAUGCUUUACACAUGCAAGUCGAACGGCAGCGCGGGGGCAACCCUGGCGGCGAGUGGCGAACGGGUGAGUAAUGUAUCGGAACGUAUCCUGUAAUGGGGGAUAACCAGUCGAAAGAUUGGGUAAUACCGCAUACGCACGAGAGUGGAAAGUAGGGGAUCGCAAGACCUUACGUUAUAGGAGCGGCCGAUAUCUGAUUAGCUAGUUGGUGGGGUAAAGGCCUACCAAGGCGACGAUCAGUAGCUGGUCUGAGAGGACGACCAGCCACACUGGGACUGAGACACGGCCCAGACUCCUACGGGAGGCAGCAGUGGGGAAUUUUGGACAAUGGGCGAAAGCCUGAUCCAGCCAUGCCGCGUGCAGGAAGAAGGCCUUCGGGUUGUAAACCUCUUUUAGCAAGGAAGAAGCGAAAGUGACGGUACUUGCAGAAAAAGCGCCGGCUAACUACGUG